This 63-nucleotide transfer RNA is filed under the name Aquatica sp. a XF-2022. RNAcentral's name for it is "tRNA-Thr". It matches the Rfam family "tRNA". From Rfam's summary of the family: Transfer RNA (tRNA) molecules are approximately 80 nucleotides in length. Their secondary structure includes four short double-helical elements and three loops (D, anti-codon, and T loops). Further hydrogen bonds mediate the characteristic L-shaped molecular structure. tRNAs have two regions of fundamental functional importance: the anti-codon, which is responsible for specific mRNA codon recognition, and the 3' end, to which the tRNAs corresponding amino acid is attached (by aminoacyl-tRNA synthetases). tRNAs cope with the degeneracy of the genetic code in two manners: having more than one tRNA (with a specific anti-codon) for a particular amino acid; and 'wobble' base-pairing, i.e. permitting non-standard base-pairing at the 3rd anti-codon position. The record is from RNAcentral. Lineage: Eukaryota; Metazoa; Arthropoda; Insecta; Coleoptera; Lampyridae.
GUUUUAGUAAUUUAAUAUAAAAUAUUGGUCUUGUAAACCAAAAAUAAGCAGCCUUUUAAAACU